This 22-nucleotide microRNA is filed under the name Callorhinchus milii (elephant shark). RNAcentral describes it as "Cmi-Mir-4541_3p (mature (guide))". Lineage: Eukaryota; Metazoa; Chordata; Chondrichthyes; Chimaeriformes; Callorhinchidae. The record is from RNAcentral.
CAUAUUUAGCAUGACUGGCUAG